CCCAACCCACCCCACCAUGACCCUAAACAGAACCACUGAGUCAUCAAGGUAGGAAAAGACUUCCAGGAUCCCCAGCUCCAACCCCAACCCACCCCACCAUGACCCUAAAUGGAUCCAUAGGGUCAUGAAGGUUGGAGAAGACCUCCAAGGUCAUCCAGUUCAACUCCAACCCCAACCCACCCCACCAUGACCCUAAAUGGAUCCAUAGGGUCAUGAAGGUUGGAGAAGGCCUCCAAGGUCAUCCAGUUCAACUCCAAGCCCAACCCACCCCACCAUGACCCUAAACAGAACCACUGAGUCAUCAAG
Molecule: long non-coding RNA, 306 nt
Organism: Lagopus muta (rock ptarmigan)
Lineage: Eukaryota; Metazoa; Chordata; Aves; Galliformes; Phasianidae
Exons: 3
Source: RefSeq, a predicted model, not a curated record